This 563-nucleotide ribosomal RNA is filed under the name uncultured bacterium. RNAcentral describes it as "bacterial SSU rRNA". It matches the Rfam family "Bacterial small subunit ribosomal RNA", at positions 337 to 916 of the family's 1533-position model. The record is from RNAcentral.
UCCUACGGGAGGCAGCAGUCGGGAAUUUUGGGCAAUGGGCGAAAGCCUGACCCAGCAACGCCGCGUGAAGGAUGAAGUCCUUCGGGAUGUAAACUUCGUAAGAAUGGGAAGAAUCAAUGACGGUACCAUUUGUAAGGUCCGGCUAACUACGUGCCAGCAGCCGCGGUAAUACGUAGGGACCAAGCGUUGUUCGGAUUUACUGGGCGUAAAGGGAGCGUAGGCGGCGCAUCAAGUCAGCUGUGAAAUCUUAAGGCUUAACCUUAAGCGGUCAGCUGAUACUGUUGUGCUAGAGUGCAGAAGGGGCAAUCGGAAUUCUUGGUGUAGCGGUGAAAUGCGUAGAUAUCAAGAGGAACACCUGAGGCGAAGGCGGGUUGCUGGGCUGACACUGACGCUGAGGCUCGAAAGCCAGGGGAGCAAACGGGAUUAGAUACCCCGGUAGUCCUGGCCCUAAACGAUGAAUACUUGGUGUCUGGAGUUUUAAUUCUCCGGGUGCCGUCGCUAACGUUUUAAGUAUUCCGCCUGGGGAGUACGUACGCAAGUAUGAAACUCAAAGGAAUUGACGG